CCUUACCUACUCUUGACAUCCAGAGAACUUAGCAGAGAUGCUUUGGUGCCUUCGGGAACUCUGAGACAGGUGCUGCAUGGCUGUCGUCAGCUCGUGUUGUGAAAUGUUGGGUUAAGUCCCGUAACGAGCGCAACCCUUAUCCUUGUUUGCCAGCGAGUAAUGUCGGGAACUCCAGGGAGACUGCCGGUGAUAAACCGGAGGAAGGUGGGGACGACGUCAAGUCAUCAUGGCCCUUACGUGUAGGGCUACACACGUGCUACAAUGGCAGGUACAGAGUGCUGCAAACUCGCGAGAGUAAGCGAAUCACUUAAAGCUUGUCGUAGUCCGGAUUGGAGUCUGCAACUCGACUCCAUGAAGUCGGAAUCGCUAGUAAUCGUAGAUCAGAAUGCCGCGGUGAAUACGUUCCC
This 407-nucleotide ribosomal RNA is filed under the name uncultured bacterium. Its description in RNAcentral is "bacterial SSU rRNA". It matches the Rfam family "Bacterial small subunit ribosomal RNA", at positions 969 to 1375 of the family's 1533-position model. The record is from RNAcentral.